UACGUAGGGGGCAAGCGUUGUCCGGAAUUAUUGGGCGUAAAGAGCGCGUAGGCGGUCCGAUAAGUCGGCUGUGAAAGUCAGGGGCUCAACCCUUGAAAGCCGGCCGAUACUGUCGGACUAGAGUCCGGAAGAGGCAAGUGGAAUUCCCGGUGUAGCGGUGAAAUGCGCAGAUAUCGGGAGGAACACCAAUGGCGAAGGCAGCUUGCUGGGACGGUACUGACGCUGAGGCGCGAAAGCGUGGGGAGCAAGCAGG
Molecule: ribosomal RNA, 253 nt
Filed under: uncultured bacterium
Lineage: Bacteria
Description: partial 16S ribosomal RNA
Rfam family: Bacterial small subunit ribosomal RNA
Source: RNAcentral